CGCGCAGGUGGUUUAAUAAGUCUGAUGUGAAAGCCCACGGCUCAACCGUGGAGGGUCAUUGGAAACUGUUAAACUUGAGUGCAGGAGAGAAAAGUGGAGUUCCUAGUGUAGCGGUGAAAUGCGUAGAGAUUAGGAGGAACACCAGUGGCGAAGGCGGCUUUUUGGCCUGUAACUGACACUGAGGCGCGAAAGCGUGGGGAAGCAAACAG
RNAcentral lists this ribosomal RNA (209 nucleotides) under uncultured bacterium. RNAcentral describes it as "partial 16S ribosomal RNA". It matches the Rfam family "Bacterial small subunit ribosomal RNA", at positions 568 to 775 of the family's 1533-position model. The record is from RNAcentral.